Molecule: microRNA precursor, 96 nt
Filed under: Medicago truncatula (barrel medic)
Lineage: Eukaryota; Viridiplantae; Streptophyta; Magnoliopsida; Fabales; Fabaceae
Description: miRNA gene38097
Rfam family: mir-651 microRNA precursor family
Source: RNAcentral
GAGUUAUCACCAACAGGUACGAGAAUCUUAACAUUGUUCAAGUACACAUCACAACGUUGAGAUUCUCGUACCUGUUGGUGACAACUCAAAAUCUUU